This 406-nucleotide unclassified non-coding RNA is filed under the name soil metagenome. RNAcentral's name for it is "partial contains 5.8S ribosomal RNA, internal transcribed spacer 2, and large subunit ribosomal RNA". The stretch from base 1 to 121 matches the Rfam family "5.8S ribosomal RNA", at positions 35 to 154 of the family's 154-position model. The record is from RNAcentral.
GAUGAAGAACGCAGCGAAAUGCGAUAAGUAAUGCGAAUUGCAGAAUUCAGUGAAUCAUCGAAUCUUUGAACGCACCUUGCGCCCUUUGGCCAUUCCGAAGGGCAUGCCUGUUUGAGUAUCAUGAACACCUCAACUCUUCAUGGUUUUCCGUGAUGAGCUUGGACUUUGGGGGUCUUGCUGGCCUAUGGUCAGCUCCUCUAAAAUAAAUCAGCUUGCCAGUGUUUGGUGGGUAUCACAGGUGUGAUAACUAUCUACGCUUGUGGUUUUCCACCAGGUAACCUUCAGCAGUGGAGGUUCGCUGGAGCUCACAGAUGUGUCUCUCCUCAGUGAGGACAGCUCUUUGAAUGUUUGAUCUCAAAUCAGGUAGGACUACCCGCUGAACUUAAGCAUAUCAAUAAGCGGAGGA